RNAcentral lists this long non-coding RNA (873 nucleotides) under Acromyrmex echinatior (Panamanian leafcutter ant). RNAcentral describes it as "uncharacterized LOC105150663, transcript variant X1". Lineage: Eukaryota; Metazoa; Arthropoda; Insecta; Hymenoptera; Formicidae. The record is from RNAcentral.
GUCAAGUCAUUUUCAACACCAACUCGCGCCGAGAACGGUACCAUGUUAUUCUGUCGAUUAGAGAUAAAAGACAUUUGUCUGGAAUCAUACGAUUUUAUCAGAUCCAAUGGCAUGAUAUUCCAUAUGAUGUCCGCAAUAGAUAUCGAAAAAGCGCAAAAUACGGAAACCGCCGUUUGUUCUGCACUACCAAUACAACGGACUCGCAUUCGGCAAAUGAGGAGCGGAGAUUUCGGCAGCUGUGGAUUCCGAUAAUGGACAGUGGAUGUGUUCAAUGGAGGCGGCUGACGCUGGCGAGAUAAGCGCGGUUGCAUUGGUCACAGUAACAGAAACCUACCGGUGGCCGAACAGACGGAAAUAGCUGUCAGCCCUCGAAAUGAUCCUGUUCUGUCUUGCCACAUCCUUCCGCGUAUGCUGGACAGAACAGUUCAUUACUGCCGGUGGAUCCGCCCCGACGGAUAUGGAAUUUACAAUGACAUAAGCCAUCGAUAUACGACCAACAGCAGCUACUCCGAGUGCAGAUUAGUCAUCCUAGCAUUCUCUUCGUGCCGAGCAUAUUCCAGCAGACCUCUUCAGUCUCAACAACUCCGAGCAGCAAAAAAGAAGAGGAGGAACGUCGACUAACCGACUAAUCGUGUCUUACAGCCGCAGACGCACUUUUGAUCCACGCCGAGUUCACUUCCAUAAAUAUCGCAGACGGAACAGACUACACCAGCAGACGAGGAGCACAUGGCUCUAAGUCCGAGGGCCACCAUCAAAAAGACACGUCCUGGGCGGCGGACACCGUCGCCGACAUCUGGUUUCGCCAGUGUGACGAUAGCCUCAGCCCGAAAUCCACUUCCGGAACUUCAACAAACAACGAUACAACAUGGGACA